AGAGUUUGAUCCUGGCUCAGAAUGAACGCUGGCGGCGUGCUUAACACAUGCAAGUCGCACGAGAACGCUUCAGCUUGCUGGAGCUAGUAAAGUGGCGCACGGGUGAGUAACGCGUGGGUAAUCUACCUCUGAAUUGGGGAUAACAUUGCGAAAGCGAUGCUAAUACCGGAUAAUAUCCUUCGUACCUCGGUUGUAAGGAUCAAAGGUGGCCUCUACAUGUAAGCUAUUGUUUGGAGAUGAGCCCGCGUACCAUUAGCUUGUUGGUAGGGUAAUGGCCUACCAAGGCAACGAUGGUUAGCUGGUCUGAGAGGAUGAUCAGCCACACUGGAACUGACACACGGUCCAGACUCCUGCGGGAGGCAGCAGUGAGGAAUUUUGCGCAAUGGGGGAAACCCUGACGCAGCAACGCCGCGUGAGUGAUGAAGGCUUUCGGGUCGUAAAGCUCUGUCAAGUGGGAAGAACCCGUACCGAACCAAUAAUUCGGUGCGCUGACGGUACCACUGAAGGAAGCACCGGCUAACUCCGUGCCAGCAGCCGCGGUAAUACGGGGGGUGCAAGCGUUAUUCGGAAUCAUUGGGCGUAAAGAGCGCGUAGGCGGUCUUUUAUGUCAGGUGUGAAAGCCCGGGGCUUAACCCCGGAAGUGCACUUGAAACUGAAAGACUUGAGUAUGGGAGAGGGAAGUGGAAUUCCUGGUGUAGCGGUGAAAUGCGUAGAUAUCAGGAGGAACACCGGUGGCGAAGGCGACUUCCUGGACCAAUACUGACGCUGAGGCGCGAAGGCGUGGGGAGCAAACAGGAUUAGAUACCCUGGUAGUCCACGCAGUAAACGAUGAACACUAGUGUAGCGGGUAUUGACCCCUGCUGUGCCGCAGUUAACGCAUUAAGUGUUCCGCCUGGGGGAGUACGGCCGCAAGGCUAAACUCAAGAUGACGGGGGCCCGCACAGCCGGGGGAGCAUGUGGAUUAAUUCGACGCACGCGAGACUACUGGAUUGGACUCCGGAUCUCUAUGAAUAAGAGAGGUGUCCCCUCG
Molecule: ribosomal RNA, 1030 nt
Filed under: uncultured bacterium
Lineage: Bacteria
Description: bacterial SSU rRNA
Rfam family: Bacterial small subunit ribosomal RNA
Source: RNAcentral